RNAcentral lists this ribosomal RNA (503 nucleotides) under uncultured bacterium. RNAcentral describes it as "partial 16S ribosomal RNA". It matches the Rfam family "Bacterial small subunit ribosomal RNA", at positions 30 to 523 of the family's 1533-position model. The record is from RNAcentral.
AUUGAACGCUGGCGGCAGGCUUAACACAUGCAAGUCGAGCGGAGUGAUGGUGCUUGCACUAUCACUUAGCGGCGGACGGGUGAGUAAUGCUUAGGAAUCUGCCUAUUAGUGGGGGACAACAUCUCGAAAGGGAUGCUAAUACCGCAUACGUCCUACGGGAGAAAGCAGGGGAUCACUUGUGACCUUGCGCUAAUAGAUGAGCCUAAGUCGGAUUAGCUGGUUGGUGAGGUAAAGGCCUACCAAGGCGACGAUCUGUAGCGGGUCUGAGAGGAUGAUCCGCCACACUGGGACUGAGACACGGCCCAGACUCCUACGGGAGGCAGCAGUGGGGAAUAUUGGACAAUGGGGGGAACCCUGAUCCAGCUAUGCCGCGUGUGUGAAGAAGGCCUUAUGGUUGUAAAGCACUUUAAGCGAGGAGGAGGCUCUUUUGGUUAAUACCCAAGAUGAGUGGACGUUACUCGCAGAAUAAGCACCGGCUAACUCUCUACCAGCCGCCGCCGUAA